CGUGCCUACGGGGGGCAGCAGUGGGGAAUAUUGGACAAUGGGGGGAACCCUGAUCCAGCGACGCCGCGUGAGUGAAGAAGUAUUUCGGUAUGUAAAGCUCUAUCAGCAGGGAAGAAAGAAAUGACGGUACCUGACUAAGAAGCCCCGGCUAACUACGUGCCAGCAGCCGCGGUAAUACGUAGGGGGCAAGCGUUAUCCGGAUUUACUGGGUGUAAAGGGAGCGUAGGCGGCAGUGCAAGUCAGAAGUGAAAGCCCGGGGCUCAACUCCGGGACUGCUUUUGAAACUGUACAGCUUGAUUGCAGGA
This 305-nucleotide ribosomal RNA is filed under the name uncultured bacterium. RNAcentral describes it as "bacterial SSU rRNA". It matches the Rfam family "Bacterial small subunit ribosomal RNA", at positions 334 to 653 of the family's 1533-position model. The record is from RNAcentral.